GCGCGGGUGGCGGAAUUGGCAGACGCGCUAGAUUCAGAUUCUAGUGGGGAACCAUGGGGGUUCAAGUCCCCCCUCGCGCA
Molecule: transfer RNA, 80 nt
Filed under: Candidatus Omnitrophota bacterium
Lineage: Bacteria; Pseudomonadati; Candidatus Omnitrophota
Description: tRNA-Leu
Rfam family: tRNA
About the family: Transfer RNA (tRNA) molecules are approximately 80 nucleotides in length. Their secondary structure includes four short double-helical elements and three loops (D, anti-codon, and T loops).
Source: RNAcentral